This 253-nucleotide ribosomal RNA is filed under the name uncultured bacterium. RNAcentral's name for it is "partial 16S ribosomal RNA". It matches the Rfam family "Bacterial small subunit ribosomal RNA", at positions 524 to 776 of the family's 1533-position model. The record is from RNAcentral.
UACGAAGGGGGCUAGCGUUGUUCGGAAUUACUGGGCGUAAAGGGCGCGUAGGCGGCCUGCUAAGUCGGAUGUGAAAUCCCCCGGCUCAACCGGGGAACUGCAUCCGAUACUGGCGGGCUCGAAUCCGGGAGAGGGAUGUGGAAUUCCAGGUGUAGCGGUGAAAUGCGUAGAUAUCUGGAGGAACACCGGUGGCGAAGGCGGCAUCCUGGACCGGCAUUGACGCUGAGGCGCGAAAGCCAGGGGAGCAAACGGG